AGAGUUUGAUCAUGGCUCAGAUUGAACGCUGGCGGCGUGCCUAACACAUGCAAGUCGAGCGGUAACAGGUGUAGCAAUACAUGCUGACGAGCGGCGAACGGGUGAGUAAUGCUUUGGAAUCUUCCCAGUAGUGGGGAAUAACCAGUCGAAAGAUUGGCUAAUACCGCAUACGUCUGUAAAGGGAAAGCGGGGGCUCGUAAGACCUCGCGCUAUUGGAUGAGCCAAAGUCGGAUUAGCUAGUUGGUGGGGUAAUGGCCUACCAAGGCGACAAUCCGUAGCUGGUCUGAGAGGACGACCAGCCACACCGGAACUGAGACACGGUCCGGACUCCUACGGGAGGCAGCAGUGGGGAAUAUUGGACAAUGGGGGAAACCCUGAUCCAGCGACGCCGCGUGUGUGAAGAAGGCCUGCGGGUUGUAAAGCACUUUUAGUGGGGACAAAAAGCUACGGAUUAAUACUCUGUGGUCUUGAUUUAACCCAAAGAAAAAGCACCGGCUAACUCUGUGCCAGCAGCCGCGGUAAUACAGAGGGUGCGAGCGUUAAUCGGAAUUACUGGGCGUAAAGCGCGCGUAGACGGUUUUGUAAGUCAGAUGUGAAAUCCCUGGGCUCAACCUGGGAACUGCAUUUGAGACUGCAUGGCUAGAGUAUCGAAGAGGGAAGUGGAAUUUCCGGUGUAGCGGUGAAAUGCGUAGAUAUCGGAAGGAACACCAGUGGCGAAAGCGACUUCCUGGUCGAAUACUGACGUUCAUGUGCGAAAGCGUGGGGAGCAAACAGGAUUAGAUACCCNNGUAGUCC
Molecule: ribosomal RNA, 795 nt
Filed under: uncultured bacterium
Lineage: Bacteria
Description: bacterial SSU rRNA
Rfam family: Bacterial small subunit ribosomal RNA
Source: RNAcentral